RNAcentral lists this ribosomal RNA (297 nucleotides) under uncultured bacterium. RNAcentral's name for it is "partial 16S ribosomal RNA". It matches the Rfam family "Bacterial small subunit ribosomal RNA", at positions 333 to 627 of the family's 1533-position model. The record is from RNAcentral.
UUUGGCCUACGGGGGGCAGCAGUGAGGAAUAUUGGUCAAUGGGCGAGAGCCUGAACCAGCCAAGUCGCGUGAAGGAUGACGGCCCUACGGGUUGUAAACUUCUUUUGUCAGGGAGCAAUUGAGUCCACGUGUGGGCUUAGCGAGAGUACCUGAAGAAAAAGCAUCGGCUAACUCCGUGCCAGCAGCCGCGGUAAUACGGAGGAUGCGAGCGUUAUCCGGAUUUAUUGGGUUUAAAGGGUGCGCAGGCGGUCUGUUAAGUCAGCGGUCAAAGCCCGGGGCUCAACCCCGGCCCGCCGU